CUUCAAAAGGACAAUUUUGGUACUCACCAACAGCAGACAGUGCACACAAACACAGGGUGGUGAAUGUUUAGCUGGUGUGAAAAGAGGGUGGUGAAGGCUUUAUUGAUGGACCAGGGAAAGGGGUAGGAGAUAAGCCAGGGGGAGACUGAAACCAU
Gavialis gangeticus (Gharial) is the source of this 155-nucleotide long non-coding RNA. RefSeq lists it as uncharacterized. The record is from RefSeq and is a predicted model, not a curated record. Lineage: Eukaryota; Metazoa; Chordata; Crocodylia; Gavialidae. The transcript is spliced from 3 exons.